GGAGAGUUGUCCGAGUUGGCCGAAGGAGCACGCCUGGAACGCGUGUAGGCGCCAAAAGCGUCUCGAGGGUUCGAAUCCCUCACUCUCCG
This 89-nucleotide transfer RNA is filed under the name Staphylococcus ursi. Its description in RNAcentral is "tRNA-Ser". It matches the Rfam family "tRNA". Rfam says of the family: Transfer RNA (tRNA) molecules are approximately 80 nucleotides in length. The record is from RNAcentral. Lineage: Bacteria; Bacillati; Bacillota; Bacilli; Caryophanales; Staphylococcaceae.